CAUGAGGAAAACGCUGGCUCCCUGGUCUCUCCCCUGCUGAACAUUCACGCUGGAAAAAAGAGGAGGGGGGCAUUUUGAGCGCAGUGGGCUCCCUCCGUGACGCCAGGGGACGUCGACCCAUGAAGAUGUCAUCGUUCACUAAGCGUGUCUGACGGACUUCUGGCACCAUGGACGGAUGAAGGGGUAUUUAGGACUUUACAUCACUGUUGGCUGGGAGAGGGAGACAGCAGGGGGAGGUGGGUGGCUGCAGUUAGGAUCCCUCUCUCACAGCGGACUUCCUCCCCUCGCAGCUUUCCUGACCCUCCUGAUCUCAAG
Molecule: long non-coding RNA, 315 nt
Organism: Pseudophryne corroboree (corroboree frog)
Lineage: Eukaryota; Metazoa; Chordata; Amphibia; Anura; Myobatrachidae
Exons: 3
Source: RefSeq, a predicted model, not a curated record